UACCAGCACCCCGAGUGGUCGGGACGUUUAUUGGGCCUAAAGCAUCCGUAGCCGGUUCUACAAGUCUUCCGUUAAAUCCCCCUGCUUAACAGAUGGGCUGCGGAAGAUACUAUAGAGCUAGGAGGCGGGAGAGGCAAGCGGUACUCGAUGGGUAGGGGUAAAAUCCGUUGAUCCAUUGAAGACCACCAGUGGCGAAGGCGGCUUGCCAGAACGCGCUCGACGGUGAGGGAUGAAAGCUGGGGGAGCAAACCGG
RNAcentral lists this ribosomal RNA (253 nucleotides) under uncultured bacterium. RNAcentral's name for it is "partial 16S ribosomal RNA". It matches the Rfam family "Archaeal small subunit ribosomal RNA", at positions 474 to 727 of the family's 1478-position model. The record is from RNAcentral.